This 292-nucleotide ribosomal RNA is filed under the name uncultured bacterium. Its description in RNAcentral is "partial 16S ribosomal RNA". The record is from RNAcentral.
GGACUACCAGGGUAUCUAAUCCUGUUUGCUCCCCUUGCUCUCGCGCCUCAGCGUCAGGAGUGAGCUAGAGAACCGCUUUCGCCACAGGUGUUCUUCCACAUAUCUACGCAUUUCACCGCUACACGUGGAAUUCCGUUCUCUCCGCCUAUCCUCAAGAAAUGUAGUUUCCCAUGCAGCUCCGAAGUUGAGCCUCGGAAUUUCACAUCAGACUUACAUUCCCGCCUACGCGCCCUUUACGCCCAAUAAUUCCGAUUAAUGCUUGCACCCUCCGUAUUACCGCGGCUGCUGGCAC